UAAACGACUCUCAGCAAUGGAUAUCUCGGCUCUCGCAUCGAUGAAGAGCGUAGCAAAAUGCGAUACUUGGUGUGAAUUGCAAAAUCUCGUGAACCAUCGAGUCUUUGAACGCAAGUUGCGCCCGAAGCCAUUAGGUUGAGGGCACGUCUGCCUGGGCGUCUCAC
This 164-nucleotide ribosomal RNA is filed under the name Camellia hongkongensis. RNAcentral's name for it is "5.8S ribosomal RNA". It matches the Rfam family "5.8S ribosomal RNA". Rfam says of the family: 5.8S ribosomal RNA (5.8S rRNA) is a component of the large subunit of the eukaryotic ribosome. Lineage: Eukaryota; Viridiplantae; Streptophyta; Magnoliopsida; Ericales; Theaceae. The record is from RNAcentral.